Pelodiscus sinensis (Chinese soft-shelled turtle) is the source of this 518-nucleotide non-coding RNA. The record is from RefSeq and is a predicted model, not a curated record. NCBI's taxonomy places the organism in Eukaryota, Metazoa, Chordata, Testudines, Trionychidae.
UCUGCUUGCUUGCAGUCAGGCAGUGGAUUUGUUUUCUUCUGAGAACUCUGACAAAAUGGCUGUGAGCAUAGGAGUGAAUAAAAUGCAGCUAAGACAAACCACAAAUUGCAACCUUGUUAGACCCAUUCUAGCACCUCAGCAGAAGACGAUGGAGACUUGAAAACUGGCAGGCACUCAGGACUCAGUUCAGUAAAACACUUAAGCAUGUACUUAACUUUAAGAUUGUGAACAAUCCCUCUGACCUCCAUGGGAGAGAAAACAGAGAUGCAGAGGCCAAGCGACUCCUCCAAGCUCCCACAACAGCAUGGAUGAGCUUGCCCUAGUAAAAGGAGAUAAUGGAGACAUUUUGGAUGAUGCUUCAAGGAGUUGAUCAACAUCAUUGUAGGAAAACUGACUUUCAUCCAGUACAUGACCAAGAUAGCGCAAGAAGAAAGAUUACAUCCCUACAGCAGUCUUCAAAGCCUUGGAGUCAGAGAGUGAAAUAGGAAAUGAACUGCAGUUCAGUGACCCUCUGUGGC